UACCCUAAAAAAUUAGAAGAUGCGGUCGUCCUCUAUAUCUGUAACAACAUACUCUAAACGGUUCUCUAUAUAUAGAGGACACUGUUAGAUCCUAUAGAGGACACUGUUGGAUCCUCUAUAUAUAGUUUCUUUCUCCUCUAUCCAUUAUACUCUCUCUGUCCUAAAAUAUAUUUUGUUUUAGACUAAAUAUACAUUCAUCAAUUAACUUAUGAAUAUAGUUUGUAUGUAUGUCUAUAUUCAUUAUCAUUCAUUUGAAUGUGGACAGAAAAAAUGUUAGAAAAAACUAAAUUUUAGGAUAGGAGUAAUAUUUUAAACAACGGAUUUAGUAAAACUAAAAUUUAUAUGAUAAAAUAUUAAAAAUACAUACCUCUAAAAGUUAAAAAUAAAAUAGGUCUUUAAUAAAAUAUUUACAUAUAAAGGACGAGAUAUGAUGCCGUUAAAGAGAAAUGAGAUAAGAAAUGAGAUAUAAAUGAAGAGUUUUUUUUAGAGAAAACCAUAAAAAAACGAAUUUAAAGAUGGAAUUUUGGUGAUAUCGCGGGAGACUCUAAUGUUGGGCCAUUAACUUCAUAGUUUUGGUUCAUUAAAUCUUACGUAUUAGUUUUUCUCGAUUCGUCGGACAGUCAGGCUCGGGCUUCGUUUCAGUCUUACAGAUAUCAAUCGCAAUUCGCACCUCCUAUCAAAAAAAAAAAAAAAAUCGUUCGCACCUCCUUUGUGCCGCCGCCGCCGCCGCCGCCGAAGAGCGAGUGUCCCGCCGACUUUGCGCUGCGCACCACGGGGCGCCGGGAGCGUGCUUCACUAGACGCCAGGUUAUACUCCUCCUUGAUCAGGUUGGCCAGCUUGGGCAAGAGAGUGCCCAUCGCCCCGGUGACUAUCUCCGCCAUGGUUGCUCAGUCAGAGCUCUUACCGACCAGCACCACUAGUUGUAAAGUGGCUAGCGAUAAAAUUCUAUAAUGGAUGGAGACAGAAUCCGACCAGGGAUAGUGGUCUCUCGUGGAAAGCUUCGAAUGUCACAUCAGUUGGACUUUAUCUAUAUACACCAGCAAGACUAGCUGUAAAGUAUUUCGUUAAUCAAGAAAGGUUUAUCUAAAUACAGUUUUACUUUACAUUAGCAUAUCUAGAAGACUGGAGCAAGGAUGUUGAAGUUGCACAUUUUUUUUAGAUUUGCGUGUUUUUAUUUACCCGAAGUUUUAUCGUAUGCCCGAUUUGAUGAGGCAAUGAGUGCAAAAUAAAGCAAACGACUUUGACUUA
Long non-coding RNA from Zea mays, 1248 nucleotides. RefSeq lists it as uncharacterized. NCBI's taxonomy places the organism in Eukaryota, Viridiplantae, Streptophyta, Magnoliopsida, Poales, Poaceae. The transcript has 3 exons. The record is from RefSeq and is a predicted model, not a curated record.